GAAAUGCGAUAAGUAAUGUGAAUUGCAGAAUUCAGUGAAUCAUCGAAUCUUUGAACGCACCUUGCGCUCCUUGGUAUUCCUUGGAGCAUGCCUGUUUGAGUAUCAUGAAAUCUUCAAAGUAAAUCUUUUGUUAACUCAAUUGGUUUCUACUUUGGUAUUGGAGGUCUUUGCAGCUUCACACCUGCUCCUCUUUGUUCAUUAGCUGGAUCUCAGUGUUAUGCUUGGUUCCACUCGGCGUGAUAAGUUAUCUAUCGCUGAGGACACUGUAAAAGGUGGCCAAGGUAAAUGCAGAUGAACCGCUUCUAAUAGUCCAUUGACUUGGACAAUACUUUUAUGAUCUGAUCUCAACUCAUGUAGGACUACCCGCUGAACUUAAGC
This 378-nucleotide unclassified non-coding RNA is filed under the name plant metagenome. Its description in RNAcentral is "partial contains 5.8S ribosomal RNA, internal transcribed spacer 2, and large subunit ribosomal RNA". The stretch from base 1 to 105 matches the Rfam family "5.8S ribosomal RNA", at positions 50 to 154 of the family's 154-position model. The record is from RNAcentral.